AGAAAGAGGGUGUAGAUGGGGCCUGGGUGUUACCAGCUCCUGAAUGGCUUUACGUGACAGGCACUGGGUGGAGUGCCUUGUAUACAUCAUCUUAGUCACAUAAAAUGUCCUUCUGCAGAAUAGGAAAUUCUGACGGGCUCUUCUUAGGAUGAGUUCCGAAAGCUGGGGGCCCAGACCUCAGUAAGGUCAGGAUGAAGUUUCCCUGGUUGUACCAGUUCUAUUGCCACGCUGCGACAGUGGUGGAGUGCUGCUCACAUCACGCCACCCCAACGUCCUCUCCUGCCUCCUCCUUCCACUGAUGAUCACGCUGGACUCAUGAUUCCACUGGGCCCAUCUGGAUGACCGACGAUAAUCUCCCCAUCUGACAGUCUGCUCGUGAGCAGCCUUAAUUCCACCGGCUGCCUCAGCUCCCUUUUGCCACGUCAGGGAGCAUACUCACAGAGAAACAAGUUAAACCAGAAGCAACUUUAAAAAAUCUUCUAAGUCUGGUGGGCGUGUCCAAUGGUUUUGAUGUCAAGAUGAUGACAAAUUCUCUCCAGAGAUGGUAUAAAAUCCAACCAUUGACAAGCAGAAAUUCCUGGAAUCUUCUACCACUCUACAGCACUAGUCUAAAAGAACACAGCUUUUAGAACUAAACUGGGAUCCAUCCAUGGCAACAGGUGCAGAGGAACCCAAGGAGAAUGAAGGUCAGGAGAGAGGGGGACGCAUGAAGCCCGUUACACUUUUCCGUGUCCUUCGGCAUUUGUUCUGUGACCACUGUGGAGCACAGUGCCUCGGGCUCAGCCCUUGCCCCCUCUUCCUUCUGGCUUACUUGCGUGAUCUACGGGGCUGGCCAGUAAACAGCUUUACCAGACUCUCCUGCACCUGAGCUUCUGCACGACCUGUCCGGUGAGCAUCUGCUGUGAGCCCACACUGUGCUGCGCAAGAAGGGGCCCUCAGGGAAGCACUGGAACAGCUCGCAAAGUGCUGCGCUGAAGCUAAGUUAAUCCUCUCCAUAGCCAUGUGAGCUAAGAAUUAUUUUCACUCCUCUCAGACAGAAGAGGAAACUGAGUCACAGGGGGAUUAAAAAACUUACCUGAGAUCACUGAGACAGAAAGAGGCCAAGCCAGGCUGCAGUCUGGCUCCAGGGCACAAGUCUCCAUCGCCACCCUCUACUACCUGCCUGUGGGGUCUGUGGUCCAGGCAGAGUCCAAAGGUUGGUCAGAUGUCUCAUUUCUUUUGCAGAGAAUAAAACCAAACACCAUAAGUAUGCAGUUAUGAAGUGGGCUGUUUUGUGACUCUUUGAUUUUGUUCAUCUUAAUUUGAGGGUUUAUCAAUCAGACCUGAGAGAUUUCAAACCUGAACUCAAACAAGGGACCACAGAGAUCUCUCUCCUAUCGUGUUUUCCACGUGGAGCAUCCCCACUCUCUCCCCCAGCCUUCUACAGCAUCAUCCCUCAGCAGAAUGAUAGUCCACAAGUAGCCUGUGUAGCUCUCAGAAACUGAUUUCUUACAUCCUACAUUUGAAGUCUGGAAUAUUAACCAAAUAGUGCUACCACCAAGGACAUGUUCAGUCUGUCCCUAAAGAGGGCUGGGAGUGUGGCUCACACUCACCAUGUAGUUCUUGCUUUCUUUGUAGGGGAGAUUAGCAGGCAAAAUUGCUUUUCUCUACUCCUCCACAGAGAUAAUUUAUCACUAUUGAAGAGUGGUAUGCUUCUCUACUUGCUUGGUUUGGAAUUGCAGCAGACAUCCAAACUUUUGCAAAAUUCCAUUGCUUUCUGCAUGGAAUGCAACUCAACGCAUCGAUGUCUUCCAUAGAGCAGAGCCAGAGCCAUGUUAGUAAUGGAAUCCUCAGAGCCCGCUGACACCCAGAGCCUUGCUGUUGACGGCCUCAGUUGCUCAAGUGCACGAUUGCACUUUACAGGUCUAAGGUCUUCCCUCAACCCCCGCCCUGCUCCAUCCAGCACAAGAAGAUGCAGUGCUCACUUGAUGGAAUUAAAACAUGCCAAAACCCCACAAAAGAAUGCAGGCUGGGUGUAGCACUCAUCUGCUAAGUAUGAAAUCUUUCCCUGAGUGAGUUCUCCACAAAUCAGGUCAGUCCCGACAGCCGACACUACCUUAGGCAGGGAGGGGCCGACGGCGCCAUUAAAAACUCCUGCCAGCGCUUGCCUCAGACAAUGUAAAUACAAAACUGGUGCUUGUGUUUAUUUAAAGUUAUUGGCAUUGGGCUCAUUCCUGGUAGACAAAGAUUAUAUUGUUUACAACAGCAUCCAGAUGAUGGACAAGACUUUGUAUAAUAUAAAUCGAACUAUGCAGGGGGGGCACCCCUUAGCAUAAACAACUUCCCUCAAGCAAAACAAAUCCUGCCAAGAUUCAAGCUGGAAUCCAUUUAUUACCCGACUUCAAGCUGACUUGUUUCAACAUUCAGCAACUGCAAAAGCAGAAGGAUAAGAACUGAUGUCCGAGGCAUUACCAGCCAGUCCUUUAACUUCUAACGCUUUUUGCAAAAGGUGUUUCUUGCUUUGUCAUGUUGCAAUGUACAUUUCCUGCAAAUGCUGUCAUUCUUGUCACUUCACAGCAUGGUGUGGCGGUGGACCAUGCAUGCAUAUAGAAGGUGAGCAGGAGCAAGGGGACACCCUGAAGAGUGCCACUGUCCUUUCAAAAGCAUUUGGGGGGCUGGCCCCCUGGCCGAGUGGUUAAGUUCGCGCGCGCUCCGCUGCAGGCGGCGUAGUGUUUCGUUGGUUUGAAUCCUGGGCGGGGACAUGACGCUGCUCAUCAAACCACGCUGAGGCAGCGUCCCACAUGCCACAAGUAGAAGGACCCACAACGAAGAAUAUGCAACUAUGUGCUGGGGGGCUUUGGGGAGAAAAAGGAAAAAAUAAAAUCUUUAAAAAAAAAAAAAAAGCAUUUGGCUCGGGUGUAAACCCAGAAUCGGGAAACAUAGUGAGGGUAAGGACACAGAGACAGAUAUUCAGACUUAGGGGUGAACGUACAGAGCUCCAGCGGACGCCAAAGCCUGCCAUGAGCCCUGUGGCUGCUGGGAUUCGGCCUUGCCUGGAAUUGGGGACAGGGCCUUGUUGAGAUUUAUUCACUUGGGAGCCGAAGGGCCUCCUGGGAAAGACUAACCCGAGUGAAGGCAGAAUCUAGCUACAAGACAGCCAGAGACUGUGAGUCGGCGGCAAAGGCCCUCGCAGGAACAAUCGUGCCUGGGAACACUGACCCCGAGAAGAAGGGGGUGUGCACAUGGGAAGGAGGAACAGCGGCGGUGAAGGUCACAGGGGGAGGCACCCAAGGAGUGAAGACACUGGGUGUGUGGUGAGGGAACACACAGGAGGAGGAUCUGGACGCUGCCUCAGCACUGGGGGCAGCGAGUGAGCGUCUAAAGCGAGCGCCUCGCUCCAGCUCCGCGCAGGAGACGGGAUCGAGGGAGGGAGGGCGGCCGGUGCGCUCAGACGCCCGCGUCCCUUCGGAGCCCUCUCCCUUCUCCGUGUGUGUCUCCGUCGGGUUAGGACUGUCUUUCCCUCAGGGCCCGCGGGGUGCUGCACACGGUGGGAUUCCGUGUCGUGGAGGGACUCCCUCGCUCCGUCGGCCCGCUUGCCCCCUGCUCUCCGCGGCUGCGCCAUCUUCCUCGCCCCCUUGGGGCGGCCGGCCUUCUGAGUGCCCGUCUUGGUUAUUUACAG
RNAcentral lists this long non-coding RNA (3658 nucleotides) under Equus caballus (horse). RNAcentral's name for it is "lncRNA (ENSECAG00000038177.3)". The record is from RNAcentral. Lineage: Eukaryota; Metazoa; Chordata; Mammalia; Perissodactyla; Equidae.